RNAcentral lists this unclassified non-coding RNA (1733 nucleotides) under Hevea brasiliensis (rubber tree). The record is from RNAcentral. Lineage: Eukaryota; Viridiplantae; Streptophyta; Magnoliopsida; Malpighiales; Euphorbiaceae.
AAAUUAACUCAAAAAGAGCAAAUUUUGUGCGUAAUUCCCGAGUUUUCAUGCAAUUCAUUUGUGCUGACUAUGGAGAAAGCAAAGACAGCAAAAUCCUACUAAAUAAUUUGGCCGUCCACAGAAAUGGCCCCUGUACAAAAAGAAACUGCCGUCAUAUUCAGUAUCAAUGGUCUCCCAAUGAGGUGAGUAAUCUAACCAACCGAAUAGCACCAAAUGAAAUAAUGAAUCCACUAGAUGAUCCCAGUAAAGUGUUACGCAAUCUACAAAUAUAAAAUCUUCUAGGCCACUUUGGCUCUCUGCAUGAUCAUAAAUCUUCUUCUACUUGCUCCCUCCACGUGCUCACCAAGCUUUGCCAAAUGAGUCAUCCGCCUUUUCCAAGAUUCAGUGGCCUCCAGUUGAUUUGGCUCCUUACUCGAGUCAGCCGAGUCAGUUUCUGAGGGUUCAAAAGAUUCCUUUGAAAUGGUCGCUUCUUCAUCUGAAUCCUGGAUUAUUUGCUUCAAAGACUCUACCACUUGAGUCAUCUUUGGUCGAUCCUUUGCACUCUUCAUCAAACAGCUGUCUGCUAACCUGGCAAUUUUUCGAGCGACAGCUAUAGAAUACUGGUUUUCAAGUCGUGGGUCAAUUAUCAACCCAAACUUUUUACUAUCAGGAGGGAAUUGCUUUACCCAUUCCAGCAACUUCUGCUCCGCUCUCGGGCGGUUUCUUUCCAAGGACCGCCUGCCAGUAAUAAUCUCGUAUAGUACAACUCCAGAGCUCCAUACAUCACUUUUAGUCGUGAGAUGCCCUGUCUCUAUGUAAUCCGGAGCAGCAUAUCCAUUUGUCCCCAUUACUGCUGUUGAAACAUGCGUUCGUCCAGCCACUGGCCCCUCCCUUGCAAGCCCAAAGUCUGAAAGCUUCGGUUUAAAAUUCUCAUCCAAUAAAACAUUGGAGGUUUUAAAAUCUCGAUAAAUAACCUGAAUUUCCAAGCCCUCGUGCAGAUAAGCCAACCCUUGAGCUGCUCCAAGUAUUAUUUGUAAUCUUGUUUUCCAAGGAAGUGCAGGGUAUGCCCUAUUGAAAAGAUGAUCUUCUAAGCUUUUGUUUGGCAUAAACUCAUAUACAAGUAGUCUCUGGAUUCCUCUUUCUCCGUCCGCAGCACAAUAUCCUACAAGUUUGACAAGAUUUGGAUGCUCCACCACACCUAGAAAUUGAACUUCUGCCACCCAUUGUUUAUGACCCUGCAAACCAUCUUUGUUAAGCUUCUUAAUUGCAACUACAAUGGGUUCACCUUUCCCAUCAGCAGGCUUGAUUGAGCCUUUGUAGACACUCCCAAAUCCACCUUCCCCAAUCCUUAAUAGUCUGUCGAAAUCAUGGGUCGCAUGUCUGAGCUCUGAGAAGGAGAAGACUCGCAGAUUGCGAGCCUUCUCCUCAUAUAAUUCGGGUAUACGACGCGCUGAAGUUUCCGAGCACGAGGAUUUUGCGAUUCUGUGUGUCCCCGACCCUGAAUAAUCCGAUUUUGAUUGCUCUUUCAACUCUGGUGCUGAUCUUUGUUGCCUGCUUCUGGAUUUGUCCUUGAAGUAGUGAAAACAUUUCAUUUUAGAAUAAUUUUCGAAGGCUGCAGCUUUUUCAGGAUUUGAAAUAGUAGAGAGAUCAAAACAGGGGAAGCAAAAACAAAAGGAAACUAAAUUAGGCAAGCGUUGAAUAUUGUUAUCGUCAAAGAAGAAGGCCGAAUAUACAGAGAAAAAGGGCAAAACAAC